CCUGGGACACCAGGUGGGUGAUUCCCCUCUAGUCAGGGCCUGAUUUAGACCUGGGACACCAGGUGGGUGAUUCCCCUCUAGUCAGGGACUGAUUUAGACCUGGGACACCAGAUGUGUGCAAUUAAUUAUCAAGUAGAAGAGAAAAUACCCCUGCUAUAGGGAAUAUUUCUGCCAUUUGGGACACAGUCAUUUUAGUAAAUAAACACUUUUAACACUUUCUUCUUAAAACUGGUUGAGGGCUUGAAAAGCAUUUCACUGUAAGAUCUACACCUGGUGUAUUGGACAAUGGUCUCAAAUAACAUUUGAUUUUCUCCUGGUCAAGGAAAAACCUCCUGUCCCUUCUACUAUUGCCAUAUGAAGCAUUUCAGCACUUUGCAGAAAUCAUUAGGCAUGUGUCGGAUUCAUUCAGCUCUGUUAAUUGCACUGAAGCGGGAGAAGGGAGGAAGGAAAGAAGGUUCUGUCCCAAAUGACAUGUCUAUUCCUUAUUUACUGCACUACUUUUCACCAGAGCCCCAUGGACCCCUGUUCUAAAAGUAGGAACGUUAGAUAGGAAAUAGGAUGCACUUUUGGGAGCAGUCUUAAAUGAAUCCCUGGGGAUGGUUGACUUUUAGAGAAGAUUCUAUUGCAGCUCUGAUUGGUUGGUUCAUUCUCAGCCAAGGAUGUAGCUUCUGAUUCAUUGUGCUAAAUCAAGAGAUAGCUGAAAGCUGUCUCUGGACAAGUGAUUGGUUGAUUGAGUGACUGGGUCUGGACAGCCAAUAAUAAUUAUAUACCCUCCAUAUCCAAGUCAAUGUACAUGCAAUGGCAAAGCACCACAAAGUCAACAAUUUUUUUUAAUUUUUUUUUUAAAGAAGAAACAAAAAAAGUCUUCUCCAUUUUGAAUUAGCUGGUGGCUGCUUGUGGGUAGAUGGGUCGUGCAUUAUGUAGCUGUUUGUGGGUAGAUGGGUCGUGCAUUAUGUAGCCGUUUGUGGGUAGAUGGGUCGUGCAUUAUGUGGCUGUUUGUGGGUAGAUGGGUCGUGCCAACGUGGAAGUUCAAGUUGAGCAGACCAUUCAGCAGGGCACAACAGUUUAGAACAGUAAGAUAGAAAUAUGCUAUGUAGAACAAACAUGCCUCUAAAAUGUAGAAUGAAUCACGUUGGCUCCUCUAUCUGCAACGUUUAGCUACUGAACGUGGCCCUGUAUUGGCCUGGGCUCGGAGCUUUUCCAGACCAUAUUACCCGACUAAGGAAAAACUCAGGGACCUACUAAUGUGCAAUGCAGUCUGUUCUCAGCCUAAAAUUACACUUGUUGGCUCUGCCUUUCUCUAAUCAAACCCAUGUGUGGACUGGCGGUCCUGCAGUUGCAUCAGCGUGAGGUCUGAACAGUGAAAACAACACAUUCAAAUGGAAGAACAUCAUUAUUCACUUUAGACGGAUCACCAUGAUAGAAUAAAAUACUUUUUUUUUUUUUUUUGACGAUUAAAUUAUUCCUCUGUUCUGACUCAAUCCCAGUUUUUUUUUUUUUUUUUUUUGUGCAAAAGCAGUAAAGAAUGCCACUUGUUUAGAGAAACCACGGCAAGUCAUGGAACUAGAAGAUAAGGAGAAAAAAAAAAACAUCAACAGUAUUUUGCACUACAAACGUGCACAUUCAAGAAAAGAAAAGAUUAUGAUCACCAACUCAAAAUAUGUUUAAUCAACCUCAAGUCUUUAGUUGGUCAGGAUUGGCACUUCAGUGAAUAGGAGUGCAUUUUCAUUUUUCACAAUUAGAAAUAUAUAUUUAAUCCACCGAUUUGUAUAAUAUCUUACUAUUCUGGUAGUCUUUGUUGAUAGACUGCACACAAAAGUACACCCGAAAAAACAAAACAAAAACAAAGACUACUAAUAUAUAAAUGCUUCUUCACAUGUUAGUGAUGUUUCAUUCUUUUCUGGAUUUAUUUCGUCUCAAAUGUCUGGUUUUUUUUUGGGGGGGGGGGGUCACUUGUUCUGUGGACAACCAUUUCCCUUUAGACAACCAUGGUGUACAGAAUCCUAAAAUAGCCUGUAGUCUAUGACCAUUACCCGCUGCUCUAUGUCAGAUCAAUGCCAAGCUUAGUCUCUUAACAAAUUUGAAUACAUUUUGCAUGUCAACCAAAGCACAACGUGUCCAAAACCACUGCAGACCACGAGUCACCGUCACUGCAAACCAUGAAUCAUCCUCAUCAUUGCAGACCAUGAAUCAUCCUCAUCAUUGCAGACCAUAAAUCAUCCUCAUCCUGAUUGCAGACCAUAAAUCAUCCUCAUCCUCAUUGCAGACCAUGAAUCAUCCUCCUCAUUGCAGACCAUGAAUCAUCCUCAUUAUUGCAGACCAUAAAUCAUCCUCAUUAUUGCAGACCAUAAAUCAUCCUCAUCAUUGCAGACCAUAAAUCAUCCUCAUCAUUGCAGACCAUAAAUCAUCCUCAUCAUUGCAGACCAUAAAUCAUCCUCAUCAUUGCAGACCAUAAAUCAUCCUCAUCAUUGCAGACCAUAAAUCAUCCUCAUCAUUGCAGACCAUAAAUCAUCCUCAUCAUUGCAGACCAUAAAUCAUCCUCAUCAUUGCAGACCAUAAAUCAUCCUCAUCAUUGCAGACCAUAAAUCAUCCUCAUCAUUGCAGACCAUAAAUCAUCCUCAUCAUUGCAGACCAUAAAUCAUCCUCAUCAUUGCAGACCAUAAAUCAUCCUCAUCAUUGCAGACCAUAAAUCAUCCUCAUCAUUGCAGACCAUAAAUCAUCCUCAUCAUUGCAGACCAUAAAUCAUCCUCAUCCUCAUCAUUGCAGACCAUAAAUCAUCCUCAUCAUUGCAGACCAUAAAUCAUCCUCAUCAUUGCAGACCAUAAAUCAUCCUCAUCAUUGCAGACCAUAAAUCAUCCUCAUCAUUGCAGACCAUAAAUCAUCCUCAUCAUUGCAGACCAUAAAUCAUCCUCAUCAUUGCAGACCAUAAAUCAUCCUCAUCAUUGCAGACCAUAAAUCAUCCUCAUCAUUGCAGACCAUGAAUCAUCCUCAUCAUUGCAGACCAUGAAUCAUCCUCAUCAUUGCAGACCAUGAAUCAUCCUCAUCAUUGCAGACCAUGAAUCAUCCUCAUCAUUGCAGACCAUGAAUCAUCCUCAUCAUUGCAGACCAUGAAUCAUCCUCAUCAUUGCAGACCAUGAAUCAUCCUCAUCAUUGCAGACCAUGAAUCAUCCUCAUCAUUGCAGACCAUAAAUCAUCCUCAUCAUUGCAGACCAUAAAUCAUCCUCAUCAUUGCAGACCAUAAAUCAUCCUCAUCAUUGCAGACCAUAAAUCAUCCUCAUCAUUGCAGACCAUAAAUCAUCCUCAUCACUGCAGACCAUAAAUCAUCCUCAUCAUUGCAGAC
Long non-coding RNA from Oncorhynchus tshawytscha (Chinook salmon), 3340 nucleotides. RefSeq lists it as uncharacterized. NCBI's taxonomy places the organism in Eukaryota, Metazoa, Chordata, Actinopteri, Salmoniformes, Salmonidae. The record is from RefSeq and is a predicted model, not a curated record. The transcript has 2 exons.